AAGAUUUCCAAGGUAGAUCUCCUUCAACUCUAUAAUGGCAGAAAUUGAUUAUCUUUCUUUGGCUUCUUCGAUUUCUCUAUUCGAAACCUCAAUCGUGGUCUAUCUUUGAUUUUAGGUUGAGAAUUCUCACUUCAAAAGAUAUUGAGUUUGCAUUUUGUAUAAAAGAUAGAAGAAGGAAGAAAGUAUUGGCUUCGAUAUGAUCAGGAAGGAAGGAGGUAGCUUCCAUGGCAUGAAACAAGCAGUGUUGGUGGUAUUAGAUUGUAAUUUCGUUUGUUAUAAUAGUAUUCGCGGAGGUACUUGUUGUAAUUUUAUGUCUUAAUUUCAGUUGCUGAUUACUUUCAACAGAAGUAUAGAAUCAGAUUGAGAUAUGUGACAUGGCCUGCUCUACAAGCAGGAAGUGCAAACAAGCUUAUUUACUGAUUACGUGUUGGUUGCUCAACUUUUUAUAAUUAUUUAGUUGAUUUUGUCCUAGAAAUUAAUAAAUAUCAGUUAGCCUUAUUUCUGUAUCAUUCUAUCUUUACAAAAGCAGAAGAUCAAGCAUUAUUUUGGGAUCGAUAAUGCCUGACUCUUUUUCUGAUGCGUUGGAUCCAGCUCAUCAUGGUGUACUUCAUAGUGCUGCACCAACAGAGUUAAAAGGAGCUGGAAAAGUUGAAGCCUGUAAUUUGAAUUGGUGAUCUAAACUGCGCUCAUCAAGAAAUAGACAUAUUUAACCUUGCAAGCAGAUAAUGUGAAAAAUGAUGUGAUAUCCAUUUCUUUGCAUGGACUAAUAUCAGUAGUGUGAAAGUUAUAUAAAGAACAAGGGAAUUAGAGGAGCAGCAAGCCAAAAGGUGAGGCCAGGGCAAUAGAGUUUUUGGGCAGAAAGUUAGAAGGAAAAUUCGAGGGGAAGCUCUUGAAUCAACUACCCAUUGUACUGUGUCGUUCUCAAGAUUGACAUUUCCUACUACUUUAUAGAGGAAUUUCAAAUCUGUUUGUAGUUUUCCUGCUCAGUUCUUAUUGGAAUAUAUUCUCAAUAAACGAAGGCAAACAAUCUAGCAAUAUUAAAAUCAUAUAUUGUUAGCUACUUUAUCGGUUGUUAUUGGAAUUUCAAAUCGGUUUGUAGUUUUCUU
This is a long non-coding RNA of Cannabis sativa, 1106 nucleotides long. RefSeq lists it as uncharacterized. The transcript has 7 exons. Lineage: Eukaryota; Viridiplantae; Streptophyta; Magnoliopsida; Rosales; Cannabaceae. The record is from RefSeq and is a predicted model, not a curated record.